Long non-coding RNA from Centrocercus urophasianus (Greater sage-grouse), 366 nucleotides. RefSeq lists it as uncharacterized. The transcript has 3 exons. NCBI's taxonomy places the organism in Eukaryota, Metazoa, Chordata, Aves, Galliformes, Phasianidae. The record is from RefSeq and is a predicted model, not a curated record.
GGAAAACCCUGGAUCAAGAAUCCUAAUGAGUCUCUAUGAAUGUGUCAUUGCAAGCAACUUCAGAAAGCAUGAAAAGAAAUCACUACCAGUGGAGGAUGGAGGACUGUUGAGCACUUGUCCAUCAAUUUUGAUUUUCAUUCUGAUGUGAAAUGUGCUAUCAGUCAAAAAAUCAAGCUUGCAGGAACUUAAGGAAUUCAGACAAGUCCAUCUGCUAAAUGAUGUCAGAAAUGUUCUACAUCCUUAUAGAAAACAAUUAAACAGUGGAAGAUUUAGAAUUAAAAACUGUUCCCUGGAUUGUUAAAUCUUCAAAAAACUGUGAAGUAAGAAAUUUAUUGAAAUUACUCUCUGUACAUGUCCAUCUCUAUU